This 465-nucleotide ribosomal RNA is filed under the name uncultured bacterium. RNAcentral's name for it is "partial 16S ribosomal RNA". It matches the Rfam family "Bacterial small subunit ribosomal RNA", at positions 339 to 795 of the family's 1533-position model. The record is from RNAcentral.
CUACGGGUCGCAGCAGUGGGGAAUAUUGGACAAUGGGGGAAACCCUGAUCCAGCAAUGCCGCGUGUGUGAAGAAGGCCUGCGGGUUGUAAAGCACUUUCGGUUGGGAGGACUGCUUCUAGCACUAAUAUUGUUGGAAGUUGACGUUACCUUCAGAAGAAGCACCGGCUAACUCCGUGCCAGCAGCCGCGGUAAUACGGAGGGUGCAAGCGUUAAUCGGAAUUACUGGGCGUAAAGCGCGCGUAGGCGGCUAGAUCAGUCGGGUGUGAAAGCCCCGGGCUUAACCUGGGAAUUGCAUUUGAAACUGGGUGUCUAGAGUGCGUCAGAGGGGGGUGGAAUUCCACGUGUAGCAGUGAAAUGCGUAGAUAUGUGGGGGAACACCAAUGGCGAAGGCAGCCCCCUGGGAUGACACUGACGCUCAUGCACGAAAGCGUGGGGAGCAAACAGGAUUAGAUACCCCGGUAGUC